RNAcentral lists this transfer RNA (71 nucleotides) under Loxodonta africana (African savanna elephant). It matches the Rfam family "tRNA". Rfam says of the family: Transfer RNA (tRNA) molecules are approximately 80 nucleotides in length. The record is from Rfam by way of RNAcentral. Lineage: Eukaryota; Metazoa; Chordata; Mammalia; Proboscidea; Elephantidae.
ACAUUGGUGGCUCAGUGGUAGAGUUCUCACUUUCUGUGUGGGAGACCCAUGUUCGAUUCCUGGCCAUUACA